UGUAAGUUGUGAUACACGAAGUUAGGGCCUUGGACAAUACUGUUUACCGAAAGUGUCCAAUGGCUUUAAACAACGUUAAGUUUUCUGUUUAUAGAGGCAAUUUCUCCAUGGGAAAAACACUCAGGCAGAAAGGUUCUCUGGCAUUAGCUUCCAAGAAAGGGAAGGAUUGCUUCGCGAUAAUGACAGAAAAAUCAGACAUCAUGAUGAGUGAAAAGUAAUUAUCCUAAUGGAAUGAAGGGUUCUGAAUGAAAAUGACAUGUCUAGGUUUUGUGAAUGUUAAAACAUCAACAUGGUUUGAAUAUACUGAAAGAAGAGUAGUUACUUUGGGAUGAAUCUAUACACUAUUCACCAAGCUGAAAUCCAAUAGCAAAAUCUAUGGGGUUUGGUGAAUGUUCUUAUAAAAAACAUCAGCAUGGUUCGAAUACACAGGUAACGAAGGUGGUUACUUAUUGGAAUAAAUAUAUUCACUCUUCAUCAAGCUGAAAUCCAACAGCAAAACCUAUGGGGUUUGGUGAAUGUUCUUAUAAAAAACAUCAGCAUGGUUUGAAUGCACAGGUAACGAAGGUGGUUACUUAUUGGAAUAAAUAUAUUCACUCUUCAUCAAGCUGAAAUCCAACAGCAAAACCUAUGGGGCUUGGUGAAUGUUCUUAUUACAACAUCAACAUGGUUUGAAUACACUGGUAACGAAGGGUGGUUACUAUAAUUAUUGGAAAGAAUGUUCCCUCUUUAUCAAACUGAAAUCAAACAGCUAAACCAUUGAGACUCGAGUAAAUGUACUACAGUUGUCAAGUUUAAUCCGUAGGUGGGUUUUGAUGGAUUCAUGGAUGAGGUUUUGGGCCAUUUGUUAUAGCUCGUGCGCACAGCUACCAUUAGGCUUUUUGGGAUAUGAUGGACCCAACCUCGUCCCCAGGGUGUGUCCAGCGGUUACAAGGUUUACCGCUCUCUCACCCUGGUAUUGGAUCAUUUGCAUAUCCAAAAAUGUUGGAUACGAAUGCAAAUUAAAAUAGUCUGGCUACUUUUCGAAAUUCACAUAUUCGUCAUAAUCUCGUAGUACGGUACCAGAUUUGAUAUUGUUUGUACAUUGUUGGUUGCCGGCGGCUGGCUGUACCUAUGAAUAUGGAACAUUAUUCUAAUAUUGUAAAGUCGUUGUCCAAUCAGGGUCCAAGUAAGGAGUUUCCAUCCCAGGGUUUACUAUUGUAAACAUAGUUGAAAAUAAAGUAAACCAUGGGUACGAGGUUGUGGUGGACCCUAAGGAGUGCACUGGUUUGGUUUGGGUGUAUACAGAAAGAUUUACCCAAAUCCAAUUGUGACAUAGUGCUGUGUCAACCAUCUCAAAUUGGCUCAAAUAGAGCAGAGGUAAAAAUUGUUCUGCAAGUACGAAUGUCAUUAGGUUGAAAUUCCUGAACGUCAUUCAUUUUCAGGGAAAUGUUUUGAAGUAACAUUAACUUUCGGCGUCAGUUAAUCACAGUCAUUUCCUAGAGAUGAUGAAAAACAAAAACAAACAGCAUUACUUGUACUUGGAUUUUGUUUCUCCGAAUAGCGGUUACACUUUGCGUUAUUUCAAUUUAACUGUCAUGUUGAUAGUUAAUCAUGGUCUCCAUUAAAAUGAGACAUGUAUAGCUCACAUGAACGACAUGGUUUGGGCUGUUAGUGUUUCCAAGAAUGUCUAGGUUUCUUGAUCAUGAAGACGUCAUCACAUUAAUGCUUUAAAGUGAAUGUU
Asterias rubens (European starfish) is the source of this 1720-nucleotide long non-coding RNA. RefSeq lists it as uncharacterized. NCBI's taxonomy places the organism in Eukaryota, Metazoa, Echinodermata, Asteroidea, Forcipulatida, Asteriidae. The record is from RefSeq and is a predicted model, not a curated record. The transcript has 2 exons.